RNAcentral lists this ribosomal RNA (406 nucleotides) under uncultured bacterium. Its description in RNAcentral is "partial 16S ribosomal RNA". It matches the Rfam family "Bacterial small subunit ribosomal RNA", at positions 29 to 526 of the family's 1533-position model. The record is from RNAcentral.
AGUGAACGCUGGCGGCGUGCCUAAUACAUGCAAGUCGAACGAGUGGCGCACGGGUGAGUAAUAUAUAGCUAAUCUGCCCCUUGCUGGAGGACAACAGUUAGAAAUGACUGCUAAUACUCCAUACAAGGGAUGAGACUAUAUCGUAUCAGCUAGUCGGUGGGGUAACGGCCUACCGAGGCUAUGACGCGUAACUGGUCUGAGAGGAUGAUCAGUCACAUUGGAACUGAGACACGGUCCAAACUCCUACGGGAGGCAGCAGUGAGGAAUAUUGGUCAAUGGGCGUUAGCCUGAACCAGCCAAGUAGCGUGAAGGAUGAAGGCUUAUGGGUCGUAAACUUCUUUUAUAUAAGAAUAUGUAUUAUAUGAAUAAGGAUCGGCUAACUCCGUGCCAGCAGCCGCGGUAAUAC